UCCUUUAUAGCUCAGUUGGUAAAGAAUCUGCCUGCAAUGCAGGAGACCCAGGUUCAAUUCCUGGGUCAGGAA
This 72-nucleotide transfer RNA is filed under the name Ovis aries (sheep). It matches the Rfam family "tRNA". Rfam says of the family: Transfer RNA (tRNA) molecules are approximately 80 nucleotides in length. Their secondary structure includes four short double-helical elements and three loops (D, anti-codon, and T loops). Further hydrogen bonds mediate the characteristic L-shaped molecular structure. tRNAs have two regions of fundamental functional importance: the anti-codon, which is responsible for specific mRNA codon recognition, and the 3' end, to which the tRNAs corresponding amino acid is attached (by aminoacyl-tRNA synthetases). tRNAs cope with the degeneracy of the genetic code in two manners: having more than one tRNA (with a specific anti-codon) for a particular amino acid; and 'wobble' base-pairing, i.e. permitting non-standard base-pairing at the 3rd anti-codon position. Lineage: Eukaryota; Metazoa; Chordata; Mammalia; Artiodactyla; Bovidae. The record is from Rfam by way of RNAcentral.